Molecule: ribosomal RNA, 1556 nt
Filed under: Salmonella enterica
Lineage: Bacteria; Pseudomonadati; Pseudomonadota; Gammaproteobacteria; Enterobacterales; Enterobacteriaceae
Also listed under: 1 other name
Description: partial 23S ribosomal RNA
Rfam family: Bacterial large subunit ribosomal RNA
Source: RNAcentral
AAUCCAUAGGUUAAUGAGGCGAACCGGGGGAACUGAAACAUCUAAGUACCCCGAGGAAAAGAAAUCAACCGAGAUUCCCCCAGUAGCGGCGAGCGAACGGGGAGGAGCCCAGAGCCUGAAUCAGCAUGUGUGUUAGUGGAAGCGUCUGGAAAGGCGCGCGAUACAGGGUGACAGCCCCGUACACAAAAGCGCAUGUGCUGUGAGCUCGAUGAGUAGGGCGGGACACGUGGUAUCCUGUCUGAAUAUGGGGGGACCAUCCUCCAAGGCUAAAUACUCCUGACUGACCGAUAGUGAACCAGUACCGUGAGGGAAAGGCGAAAAGAACCCCGGCGAGGGGAGUGAAAAAGAACCUGAAACCGUGUACGUACAAGCAGUGGGAGCACCCUUUGGGGUGUGACUGCGUACCUUUUGUAUAAUGGGUCAGCGACUUAUAUUCUGUAGCAAGGUUAACCGUAUAGGGGAGCCGGAGGGAAACCGAGUCUUAACCGGGCGUUAAGUUGCAGGGUAUAGACCCGAAACCCGGUGAUCUAGCCAUGGGCAGGUUGAAGGUUGGGUAACACUAACUGGAGGACCGAACCGACUAAUGUUGAAAAAUUAGCGGAUGACCUGUGGCUGGGGGUGAAAGGCCAAUCAAACCGGGAGAUAGCUGGUUCUCCCCGAAAGCUAUUUAGGUAGCGCCUCGUGAAUUCAUCUCCGGGGGUAGAGCACUGUUUCGGCUAGGGGGCCAUCCCGGCUUACCAACCCGAUGCAAACUGCGAAUACCGGAGAAUGUUAUCACGGGAGACACACGGCGGGUGCUAACGUCCGUCGUGAAGAGGGAAACAACCCAGACCGCCAGCUAAGGUCCCAAAGUCAUGGUUAAGUGGGAAACGAUGUGGGAAGGCCCAGACAGCCAGGAUGUUGGCUUAGAAGCAGCCAUCAUUUAAAGAAAGCGUAAUAGCUCACUGGUCGAGUCGGCCUGCGCGGAAGAUGUAACGGGGCUAAACCAUGCACCGAAGCUGCGGCAGCGACGCUGAUGCGUUGUUGGGUAGGGGAGCGUUCUGUAAGCCUGCGAAGGUGGCCUGUGAGGGUUGCUGGAGGUAUCAGAAGUGCGAAUGCUGACAUAAGUAACGAUAAAGCGGGUGAAAAGCCCGCUCGCCGGAAGACCAAGGGUUCCUGUCCAACGUUAAUCGGGGCAGGGUGAGUCGACCCCUAAGGCGAGGCCGAAAGGCGUAGUCGAUGGGAAACGGGUUAAUAUUCCCGUACUUGGUGUUACUGCGAAGGGGGGACGGAGAAGGCUAUGUUGGCCGGGCGACGGUUGUCCCGGUUUAAGCGUGUAGGUGUGUGUUCCAGGUAAAUCCGGUUCACUUUAACACUGAGGCGUGAUGACGAGGCACUACGGUGCUGAAGCAACAAAUGCCCUGCUUCCAGGAAAAGCCUCUAAGCAUCAGGUAACAUCAAAUCGUACCCCAAACCGACACAGGUGGUCAGGUAGAGAAUACCAAGGCGCUUGAGAGAACUCGGGUGAAGGAACUAGGCAAAAUGGUGCCGUAACUUCGGGAGAAGGCACGCUGACA